UACAGAGGUCUCGAGCGUUAGGCGGAAUCACUGGGCUUAAAGCGUGUGUAGGUGGAUGCCUAAGUACCUUGUGAAAUCCCACAGCUUAACUGUGGAACUGCUUGGUAUACUGGGUGUCUUGAGUCACUCAGGGGCGAGCGGAACAAAUGGUGGAGCGGUGAAAUGCGCAGAUAUCAGGAGGAACACCGGUGGCGAAGGCGGAUCUCUGGGCCGUAACUGACGCUGAGGAGCGAAAGCAUGGGGAGCGAACAGG
Molecule: ribosomal RNA, 253 nt
Filed under: uncultured bacterium
Lineage: Bacteria
Description: partial 16S ribosomal RNA
Rfam family: Bacterial small subunit ribosomal RNA
Source: RNAcentral